UUGGUUCAGAACGAACGCUGGCGGCAGGCUUAACACAUGCAAGUCGAGCGCCCCGCAAGGGGAGCGGCAGACGGGUGAGUAACGCGUGGGAACGUACCAUUUGCUACGGAAUAACUCAGGGAAACUUGUGCUAAUACCGUAUGAGCCCUUCGGGGGAAAGAUUUAUCGGCAAAUGAUCGGCCCGCGUUGGAUUAGCUAGUUGGUGGGGUAAAGGCCUACCAAGGCGACGAUCCAUAGCUGGUCUGAGAGGAUGAUCAGCCACACUGGGACUGAGACACGGCCCAGACUCCUACGGGAGGCAGCAGUGGGGAAUAUUGGACAAUGGGCGCAAGCCUGAUCCAGCCAUGCCGCGUGAGUGAUGAAGGCCCUAGGGUUGUAAAGCUCUUUCACCGGUGAAGAUAAUGACGGUAACCGGAGAAGAAGCCCCGGCU
This 431-nucleotide ribosomal RNA is filed under the name Ochrobactrum sp. P65. RNAcentral describes it as "bacterial SSU rRNA". It matches the Rfam family "Bacterial small subunit ribosomal RNA", at positions 19 to 498 of the family's 1533-position model. The record is from RNAcentral. Lineage: Bacteria; Pseudomonadati; Pseudomonadota; Alphaproteobacteria; Hyphomicrobiales; Brucellaceae.